GCUGCCGUGAGUUCAUGGCAAGCAACGGAGAGGAAGGUUCGGUGGCAGCGCUAACGUGCGCCGCCUGUGGCUGCCACCGCAGUUUCCAUCGUAGAGAAAUCGAAACCGAGGUUGUUUGCGACUGUAAUUCACCUCCUUCGACUGGAAACUAGACCAGUAAAAACUAGACCUAGGUAAGAGUUAAUUGGUUGUGUCUUUGUGUGCUAUAUAUUAUAUAUAUAAUACACGGCUGAAAUUCUGAAUAUAUAUAUUAUAUUGUUUUAAUACCUUCGUAGUGUCAAGGGUUUGUGUCUCGUUGAGAAGUAAAGCAGAAAAUUUCAGAGAUGUAUAGAUUGGAGGUUGUGGAAGAUCUAUAAUAACUGGAUGCUUUAAGCAUGUCUCAGAAAAGAUCUAUGAAAUAUGAAGCUUAUAAGUUU
RNAcentral lists this long non-coding RNA (416 nucleotides) under Brassica napus (rape). RNAcentral describes it as "long non-coding RNA (BNAP_LNC020527)". Lineage: Eukaryota; Viridiplantae; Streptophyta; Magnoliopsida; Brassicales; Brassicaceae. The record is from RNAcentral.